Cucurbita maxima (winter squash) is the source of this 255-nucleotide long non-coding RNA. RefSeq lists it as uncharacterized. The transcript has 2 exons. The record is from RefSeq and is a predicted model, not a curated record. NCBI's taxonomy places the organism in Eukaryota, Viridiplantae, Streptophyta, Magnoliopsida, Cucurbitales, Cucurbitaceae.
UAAAAAUUAGGCAUGGAAGGUUGGGUACGUUAUGGGGCGAGGGAAUCGGGGAAUGCAAAAACCAAUGAUUUUUGCUUGACGUGUUCAACUCAAUCAUACACAGGAAUGAAUAAUCAUAGUAAUCAAAUUUGUGUAUAUCAAGACAGUUCAAUUCCAGGAAAUUGACACGUGCAUGAAAAGAAUUGUGGUGGGUAUGAAGGAGAGGUACCUUGUAUUUGAUGGAGGCUUCUGGAUGACCACAUGGUACAAUCUCUG